AUAGAGACUCAGAGCUGCAUAUCAAUAAGCGGAGGAAAAGAAACUAACAAGGAUUCCCUUAGUAACGGCGAGUGAAGCGGGAAGAGCUCAAAUUUGAAAUCUUCAAGGUUCUACCUUGACGAAUUGUAGUUUAAAGAAGUGUUUUCUGUUAGAUGAGUAGCAAAAGUUCCUUGGAAUGGGACAUCAUAGAGGGUGAGAAUCCCGUAUUUGGUUAUUCAUUCUAGCUUUGUGAUACACUUUCAAAGAGUCGGAUUGUUUGGGAAUGCAGUCCAAAAUGGGUGGUAAAUUUCAUCUAAAGCUAAAUAUUGGCGAGAGACCGAUAGCGAACAAGUACCGUGAGGGAAAGAUGAAAAGAACUUUGAAAAGAGAGUUAAACAGUACGUGAAAUUGUCAAAAGGGAAGCGUUUGACACCAGUGUUGUUUUCUCGAAAAUCAAUUAAGAAUGGCCUGAUUUUGUGUUGUAUUGACCUUAUCAGCUUUCUUCACUUUUUUCGAGUCUUUCUUAAUGCACUUUUCGGUUAACAAGUCAACAUCAAUUUCUUUUGUUGUAAAAGAGUCAUUGGAAGGUGGCUUUCUUUUCGGAGAAAGUGUUUAUAGCCCUUAUGCCUCUACAAUCGGAGAGAUUGAGGUCUGCAGCGUAGAUCCUUCGGGGUUAGAUACACUUGUGCUAAGUUAGUAGCCUUUCAUAGACAACUUGUUGACUAUGAUCAGUCAUGUAGGCUUACUCGCUUAUGCUAUUUUACCUACGCUUAGGAUGUUGACGAUCAGCUGAGCGCG
This 777-nucleotide ribosomal RNA is filed under the name uncultured Neocallimastigales. RNAcentral describes it as "partial large subunit ribosomal RNA". It matches the Rfam family "Eukaryotic large subunit ribosomal RNA", at positions 23 to 648 of the family's 3401-position model. Lineage: Eukaryota; Fungi; Neocallimastigomycota; Neocallimastigomycetes; Neocallimastigales. The record is from RNAcentral.